AUCCAGCUCACGAGUCCCAAAUAGGACUAAACGCGCGUCAAACUGGAU
This 48-nucleotide non-coding RNA is filed under the name Schistosoma mansoni. The record is from RNAcentral. Lineage: Eukaryota; Metazoa; Platyhelminthes; Trematoda; Strigeidida; Schistosomatidae.